This 28-nucleotide non-coding RNA is filed under the name Homo sapiens (human). Lineage: Eukaryota; Metazoa; Chordata; Mammalia; Primates; Hominidae. The record is from RNAcentral.
UGCUAAACAUGGCCAGAUGCCUGGAGGU